CCUACGGGGGGCUGCAGUGGGGAAUUUUGGACAAUGGGCGAGAGCCUGAUCCAGCGACGCCGCGUGGAGGACGAAGGUCUUCGGAUUGUAAACUCCUUUUGCAGGGGACGAAAAAAAUGACGGUACUCUGCGAAUAAGCCACGGCUAACUACGUGCCAGCAGCCGCGGUAAUACGUAGGUGGCGAGCGUUACUCGGAAUCACUAGGCGUAAAGCGCGUGUAGGCGGUAUUUUAUGUCUGUUGUGAAAUCUUAUGGCUCAACCAUAAAAUGUCGACAGAUACGGAAGUACAAGAGUGAGGCAGGGGAAACUGAAAUUCCAGGUGUAGCGGUGAAAUGCGUAGAUAUCUGGAAGAACGCCAAGGGCGAAGGCAGGUUCCUGGGCCUUUACUGACGCUGAGCCGCGAAAGCUAGGGGAGCAAACAGGAUUAGAUCCCCUGGUAGU
RNAcentral lists this ribosomal RNA (442 nucleotides) under uncultured Elusimicrobiales bacterium. RNAcentral describes it as "partial 16S ribosomal RNA". It matches the Rfam family "Bacterial small subunit ribosomal RNA", at positions 338 to 794 of the family's 1533-position model. Lineage: Bacteria; Pseudomonadati; Elusimicrobiota; Elusimicrobia; Elusimicrobiales. The record is from RNAcentral.